This 822-nucleotide long non-coding RNA is filed under the name Marmota monax (woodchuck). Lineage: Eukaryota; Metazoa; Chordata; Mammalia; Rodentia; Sciuridae. The record is from RNAcentral.
CUCCUUUUUGAAAGUUGCUUUUUCUCUUCACCCUUGAGUAGAUCCAGUAUUUGAUGAAAUUCAUGAAAAUGGGUGGAAGCUGUCUUGCCCCUCCUCUUUUCUAGGAUGCACUCUGUAUGUGACUGUGACUUUCAAGGAAAUUUGUUUGCUAUUUGCUGUUUUUUUUUGGGGGGGGUGGUUAAUUUCUAAUUUCUUUCAUUGAUAAAUGAAGAAAAGUAUUGCACCUUUUGAAAUACACCAAAUGAAUUUGGUUUGUAAUUAAAAAACAAAUUUUCCCCUGUCAGUCAUUGUUUUAUAUACUUAGCAUAGAUUUGCAACUCACUGUGUGGUGGUCCUAGAACCCAGCUGAAGACCUGGCACAUAGAAGAACUGUGAAGGGUGGUGCUAGAAGACAGAUGCCUGCAGGAUGAUUGGCAUCCUUUCAGGUUUGAGGAUGUGGGCCUGCUUCAUGAAGAAGCUGGUGGUGGAUGGGGUGGGAGAACAUUUACCAACAAGAGGACUGACCAGUUGGGAAUCCCCUUAUUUCUGUUUUGGGUAUGAGGCCCCCCUAGCCCACUGAUAUUCUUUAAUGAAAAUCAUGGCGAGAGUCUUGUGGAGACUCUUCAUAAGUGUUAAUAGGGAUUUGUUUUUCAGCUUAUUUGGUUGCAGUUUCCAGUUUUUAAAAAUGUUUAGAUAAUUUUUUCCACCUUCCCCAAAUCCUAAAACUUGUAGAUUCAUUAGUGUUGAACCAAUGCUUUUUCCCAUCUCAAUUCUUUGUAUAUGCAUUCUUUUCAGAUGUAUUAAACAAACAAAAACCCUUCACACAAAAAAAAGGAUGGGAUC